RNAcentral lists this ribosomal RNA (562 nucleotides) under Xanthomonas vasicola pv. vasculorum NCPPB 890. RNAcentral's name for it is "bacterial LSU rRNA". It matches the Rfam family "Bacterial large subunit ribosomal RNA", at positions 1980 to 2541 of the family's 2925-position model. The record is from RNAcentral. Lineage: Bacteria; Pseudomonadati; Pseudomonadota; Gammaproteobacteria; Lysobacterales; Lysobacteraceae.
GUUCCGACCUGCACGAAUGGCGUAACGACAGCGGCGCUGUCUCCACCCGAGACUCAGUGAAAUUGAAAUCGCUGUGAAGAUGCAGCGUUCCCGUGGCAAGACGGAAAGACCCCGUGAACCUUUACUAUAGCUUUACACUGAACGUUGAGUUCGUCUGUGUAGGAUAGGUGGGAGGCUAUGAAACUGUGGCGCUAGCUGCAGUGGAGCCAUCCUUGAAAUACCACCCUGUCGUGCUUGACGUUCUAACCUAGGUCCGUUAUCCGGAUCAGGGACCGUGUAUGGUGGGUAGUUUGACUGGGGCGGUCUCCUCCUAAAGAGUAACGGAGGAGCACGAAGGUACGCUCAGCGCGGUCGGACAUCGCGCACUGUGUGCAAAGGCAUAAGCGUGCUUGACUGCAAGAUCGACGGAUCAAGCAGGUACGAAAGUAGGUCUUAGUGAUCCGGUGGUUCUGUAUGGAAGGGCCAUCGCUCAACGGAUAAAAGGUACUCCGGGGAUAACAGGCUGAUACCGCCCAAGAGUUCAUAUCGACGGCGGUGUUUGGCACCUCGAUGUCGGCUCAUC